GAUUGAACGCUGGUGGCAGGCCUAACACAUGCAAGUCGAGCGGCAUCGAGUGAUCGCAGUUUACUGAGUUCAUGUCGGCGAGCGGCGGACGGGUGAGUAAAGUCUGGGAAUCUGGCCGAAGGAGGGGGAUAACUGCUGGAAACGGCAGCUAAUACCGCAUGAAGUCGCGAGACCAAAGYGGGGGACCUUCGGGCCUCACGCCUUCGGAUGAGCCCAGAUGAGAUUAGCUGGUAGGUAAGGUAAAGGCUYACCUAGGCGACGAUCUCUAGCGGGUCUGAGAGGAUAGCCCGCCACACUGGAACUGAGACACGGUCCAGACUCCUACGGGAGGCAGCAGUGGGGAAUAUUGCACAAUGGGCGAAAGCCUGAUGCAGCCAUGC
Molecule: ribosomal RNA, 380 nt
Filed under: Candidatus Williamhamiltonella defendens
Lineage: Bacteria; Pseudomonadati; Pseudomonadota; Gammaproteobacteria; Enterobacterales; Enterobacteriaceae
Description: bacterial SSU rRNA
Rfam family: Bacterial small subunit ribosomal RNA
Source: RNAcentral